CUAUUUUGGGACGGAGAGAGU
Molecule: microRNA, 21 nt
Filed under: Zea mays
Lineage: Eukaryota; Viridiplantae; Streptophyta; Magnoliopsida; Poales; Poaceae
Description: miRt29
Source: RNAcentral